This 692-nucleotide unclassified non-coding RNA is filed under the name Zea mays. RNAcentral's name for it is "misc RNA Zm00001eb247700". The record is from RNAcentral. Lineage: Eukaryota; Viridiplantae; Streptophyta; Magnoliopsida; Poales; Poaceae.
GGAUCAGGUUGUACGCGGCGCCGGCCCACGCCGUCUCCGUCAUGACCCCCGUCGCCAUGACGAUCCGCCCCGAGAGCGGGAAUAUCUGGAACAACCGCGGGAGGUACUGGAAGAUGAUGCUGAACCGGAGGAUGUUCUUCGUGUUCGCCGUCCGGGAGUACUCAUUCAGCCUUGGUAUAACGAUCCAGAUCACGAACUGCAUGCAUGACAAACCAAAAGCCUCACUGUUCAGUCUCGCAACUGACACACGUCAUCAAUGGCUGCGUGCGGGAGCUGACCUGCGGCAAGGGCAGCGCCGUGACGAGAUCGAACCAGAACGUCCGGCCAAGGUACCUCCUGGCGAUCUCGUAGGGCUGGAUGACGAGCUCGCCCCGCCCGAACACGCGCGACGACGGCGCGAUGAAGGCGGUGCGGAAGCGGAACAGGAUGUGCGCGGCGUAGAAGAGGUCCAGCAGCGAGCGGACCAUGGACAGCGUGAGCGCCAGCGAGUCCUUGAACUCGACGCACGUGUUCCGCUGCGUGCCCGUCAGGUACAGGAACAGCGGGUCCACGAACAGCGACAGCAGGCAGGCGGACAGGAAGAUCUUGUUCCACAGGUGGAUCAGCUGCCCGCGCGGGUCGAAGAAGAGGUGGCUGCCGCCGGCGGCGUGCAUCAGGGACUCCAGCUCCUCCGAGAAGGCGCGCGAGAGCAC